Long non-coding RNA from Vigna radiata var. radiata (mung bean), 307 nucleotides. RefSeq lists it as uncharacterized. Lineage: Eukaryota; Viridiplantae; Streptophyta; Magnoliopsida; Fabales; Fabaceae. The transcript has 3 exons. The record is from RefSeq and is a predicted model, not a curated record.
CUCUCUAAAACAUUAUUCCCUACCGUUUCUUUGCCUUCUCUCUAGAUCUUCUCUCAGUUGAGCUGUCGGUUUGAUGAUUAGGAGCUGCCUAGACGAUUUUGACGUCAAGGACAAGAAUCCAGACCAAUAAAUUCCUUGAUUUGAGUCGGUGUUUCUAGAGUUUUCUUGCGGUGCAAGGCAUGGUUGGAGUAAUUUUGUGAGCUGGGCAGUUUACCUUUGAGAGGGAGAUGAGGUUUCCCUGGAGCAGGCGUUGGACGGUGCUGAUGUUGCAAAGUAGCUAGUGAUAGAAUAAGACUAUACAUAACUU